Long non-coding RNA from Brassica oleracea var. oleracea, 478 nucleotides. RefSeq lists it as uncharacterized. Lineage: Eukaryota; Viridiplantae; Streptophyta; Magnoliopsida; Brassicales; Brassicaceae. The record is from RefSeq and is a predicted model, not a curated record. The transcript has 2 exons.
GGCUCCAUAACCAUGAUCGUAAGGCACGCGCCGCACCACAAACAGAGGGAACCUAAACCUGACAACUACACUGUCGCUCUCCGUAAAGCUCUCAUGUUCUUCAACGCUCAGAAAUGGAUAGCCCAUGUUAACCUAUCUUGAUCAUGUUACCAGCCACGAAAUGGCUCGGAAAGCUAGUGCCUUCAGGGAUAGCCCAUACUGUGGCGUACCUAGCUGGGAUAACAAGCUUCCCGGAGCUCAGGUUAGUUCUCUUUUUGGAAAAAAAUUGUAGUUAAUGAUGUUGUGACGGACUAGAUGCCCUCGCUCUACUAAAGCCAAAUGUACGUCACAAUUAUUAACUCCUAGCUUAGUAUGAUAUUGUCUGUUUUGAGCAUAAGUCUUCACGAAGAAGCUUCUUCGAAAGCGAAAAAGCCAAAAGUUGUUCUUCGUCUUCUUCAAGAUGAGAGGCUGAUCAAGAAGAAGAAACUGAGGAACCAAA